Cicer arietinum (chickpea) is the source of this 1116-nucleotide long non-coding RNA. RefSeq lists it as uncharacterized. NCBI's taxonomy places the organism in Eukaryota, Viridiplantae, Streptophyta, Magnoliopsida, Fabales, Fabaceae. The record is from RefSeq and is a predicted model, not a curated record.
AAAGGUGAUAAUUAAAGGAAAGAAGAUGGUGAAAAUGGAGAGGAUAGUAAUCCAUAAUAGUUAACGAUGGCUUUUGUGGGGCCAUAAAAAUUUAUACGUAUUGUACUGUUUCAACAUCCAGUACCUAUUUUGUUAUCGGUUGGAAUUUGUUUGAACCUAAAUUAUCUGUAGAAUUAUCUCUGCAAAAUAAUUUUGGAUCUAAACAUUUAUAAUUUUGCAACGUAAAUAAAUCAAUUGUAUCGUAAACCAAAUCCAUUUCCCAUUCUUCAACAAAGCAAAACAAAGGUUAAUCGGUGCUCGACGUCGUUUUGAGAUGGAUUCAAUUCCAGGGACUUAGCACAACAACACAGAUCUCUUGGAAUUGCUCAAUUGUGAAGGUACUGAAGGUUUAGGAAGGGAUUCAAGACAUUUGACAGUAUCUGCUAAUGACCGUGACUGAAGAGAAAGCAAAUUGAGAGAAAAUUGCAUCAAAAGACUUUUCAUUUCAGUUUAGUAUUUUUACAUUUGCAUUCAGUCAAAACAAUGUGCCAAAUAAUAUAACGAGUCUCUAUAUCCUUAACUGUCAUGCGCAUUUUCAGAAGCAAUAUUAGUCUGGAAGGGAAUGAAAUACAAAAGACAGUAUAUAUGCAAAUGUAAGAAGACCAUCUUGACCAUUGGAUGCUGUAGAGGAUCCUACAAGUGAGUUAGUUGCCUGUGCUUUCACCCACAAUAAGACUUCUAUAUACGAGACUUCAUGUGAACAAAGGGUCAUCUUCAAGGGUCAUAUGAUUGUCUUCACCAUGCAGCUGGUUUCUGUGCUCUCAUCCUCUGUCCAUUAAUUGUCGAUGCAUAAAUGGUUGUUCUCCAUCUGUAAUAUGGCAAAAAAUAGUUACACAAUUACAACUAUUAUACUUGUUUGUGAAAAACAUACACCAUAAAUCUGUUGUGAUUAGUCCAUAGCACUUUAAUGGAGACCUCACGCAUAACCAAUUGUGCAAACCAGGUUAUCAAUUAUUGAGAAAAAUCCAAGUCUCACAUACAGUACAAUAAAGACCGACACAUCUCACCUUAUAAGCCGAUUGUAUAAGAAUAAAUUAGGAUCAAUAUAAAAACCUAAUAUCACUGAACAUUAAUAUA